GACGAACGCUGGCGGCGUGCUUAACACAUGCAAGUCGAACGGGCCUUGUCCCCUUUUUUUUUGGGGGUGGGGUUAGUGGCGAACGGGUGAGUAACACGUGAGUAACCUGCCCCUCACUUCUGGAUAACCGCUUGAAAGGGUGGCUAAUACGGGGUGUUCUGGCCUGCUCGCAUGGGUGGGUUUGGAAAGAUUGGACCGGUUUUGGUUGUUUUGGGGGGGGAUGGGCUCGCGGCCUAUCAGCCUGUUGGUGGGGUGAUGGCCUGCAAGGGCUUUGACGGGUGGCGGGCGUGAGAGGGUGGGCGGUCACAGUGAGACUGAGACACGGCCCAGACUCCUACGGGAGGCAGCAGUGGGGAAUAGUGCAAAAGGGGCGAAAGCCUGAUGCAGCGACGCCGCGUGAGGGAUGGAGGCCUUGGGGUUGUGAACCUCUUUCGCCAGGGAAAAAGGUCCUGCUCUUUGUGGUGGGGUUGACGGUAGCUGGGUUAAUGAAGCGCCGGCUAACUACGUG
RNAcentral lists this ribosomal RNA (508 nucleotides) under uncultured bacterium. RNAcentral describes it as "partial 16S ribosomal RNA". It matches the Rfam family "Bacterial small subunit ribosomal RNA", at positions 28 to 507 of the family's 1533-position model. The record is from RNAcentral.